UAGAUGAUAGUAUAGUAAUAAAUACUUUUUGCUUACACCAAAAAACUGGCAUCAGCCUCAUCUGCGU
This 67-nucleotide transfer RNA is filed under the name Venustaconcha ellipsiformis. RNAcentral's name for it is "tRNA-Val". Lineage: Eukaryota; Metazoa; Mollusca; Bivalvia; Unionida; Unionidae. The record is from RNAcentral.